UACGUAGGGACCGAGCGUUGUCCGGAAUCAUUGGGCGUAAAGAGCGUGUAGGCGGCCACUUAAGUCCUGCGUGAAAUCUUGCGGCUCAACCGCAAGCGGUCGUGGGAAACUGGGUGGCUAGAGUGCGGGAGAGGAGAGUGGAAUUCCUGGUGUAGCGGUGGAAUGCGCAGAUAUCAGGAAGAACACCCGUGGCGAAGGCGGGUCUCUGGGCCGAUACUGACGCUGAGGAGCGAAAGCGUGGGGAGCGAACAGG
This 253-nucleotide ribosomal RNA is filed under the name uncultured bacterium. RNAcentral's name for it is "partial 16S ribosomal RNA". It matches the Rfam family "Bacterial small subunit ribosomal RNA", at positions 524 to 776 of the family's 1533-position model. The record is from RNAcentral.